This 273-nucleotide transfer RNA is filed under the name Streptococcus infantarius subsp. infantarius ATCC BAA-102. RNAcentral describes it as "partial 16S-23S ribosomal RNA intergenic spacer". The stretch from base 54 to 126 matches the Rfam family "tRNA". Lineage: Bacteria; Bacillati; Bacillota; Bacilli; Lactobacillales; Streptococcaceae. The record is from RNAcentral.
CUAAGGAUAAACGGAAGCACGUUUGGGUAUUGUUUAGUUUUGAGAGGUCUUGUGGGGCCUUAGCUCAGCUGGGAGAGCGCCUGCUUUGCACGCAGGAGGUCAGCGGUUCGAUCCCGCUAGGCUCCAUUGAAUCGAAAGAUUCAAGUAUUGUCCAUUGAAAAUUGAAUAUCUAUAUCAAAUUCCAUAUGUAAGUAAUUACAUAUAGAUAGUAACAAGAAAAUAAACCGAAACGCUGUGAAUAUUUAAUGAGUUAGGUCGAAAGGCCAAAAAUAA